Characodon lateralis is the source of this 83-nucleotide non-coding RNA. The record is from the annotation of a GenBank genome assembly. Lineage: Eukaryota; Metazoa; Chordata; Actinopteri; Cyprinodontiformes; Goodeidae.
UGCACGGUAGUGCAGUUGGUAGCACUGUUGCCUUGCAGCACGAAGUUCCUGGGUUCGAUUCCCAGCCGGGGGUCUUUCUGCAU